UGUAGGAGCCGGCUUGCUGGCGAAAGAUUUUGAAAUGUGUGCUGUUUUGCAGGACGCCAUCGCCAGCAAGCCGGCUCCUACA
Molecule: unclassified non-coding RNA, 82 nt
Filed under: Pseudomonas migulae
Lineage: Bacteria; Pseudomonadati; Pseudomonadota; Gammaproteobacteria; Pseudomonadales; Pseudomonadaceae
Source: RNAcentral